UUCCCUGCGCCAUGCCUCUCCUUCUCCUCCUCUGACCGCCUCCUGCUUCUUCCUUCUUGGAGGGAACUUAUCAUGAAGACUACGCGGAAAUGUCGCGCGCUGCUGUCCGUGGGUCUGAACCUGGUGGCUCUGUUUUUCUCCACCACCGCCUUCAUCACCACGUACUGGUGCGAGGGCACCCAGCGCGUGCCCAAGCCCAACUGUAGCAAGCAGCGGCGCCACAACUGCAUCGACUACGGCGUGAACGAGACUGACCAGAACAAGGUGCACUACAGCUGGGAGACCGGGGACGACCGCUUCCUCUUCCGCCGCUUCCACACCGGCAUCUGGUACUCCUGCGAGGAGAACAUCCACGAGGCAGGUGAGAAGUGUCGUAGCUUCAUUGAUCUGGCCCCGGCGUCAGAGAGAGGUGUGUUGUGGUUGUCGGUGGUGUCGGAGGUGCUCUACAUCCUGCUGCUGGUGGUCGGCUUCAGUCUGAUGUGCCUCGAGCUUUUCCACUCCAGCAACGUCAUCGACGGACUCAAACUCAACGCCUUCGCCGCCGUCUUCACCGUGCUGUCCGGUCUCCUGGGUAUGGUGGCCCACAUGAUGUACACGCAGGUGUUCCAGAUCACAGUCAGUCUGGGUCCUGAAGACUGGAGGCCUCACAGCUGGGACUACGGCUGGUCCUUCUGCAUGGCCUGGGGCUCCUUCACCUGCUGCAUGGCUGCAUCCGUCACCACCCUCAACUCCUACACCAAGACGGUGAUCGAGUUCAGACACAAGCGCAAGCUGUUCGAGCAGGGCCUGCGCGAGGAGCAGAACUACCUGGACCAGGAAGCGUUCCACUACUUCCGGGAUCGCUCGCUGCAGUCUAUCUCCAGCUCUGUGGAGGUGUACCCCGGCCACGGCGGGGCCAGAGGCGGGCUCGUCGUCGGGGGCCCGUGUGCCGGUCUCGGUCCGGGGCCGGGUCCGGGUCCCGGACGGGGCAAGAUGAGAGCCCCGUCAGCCUCCAUAGACCUGGGGGAGAACACAGACUCGCUGGGGGAGGAGCAGUGCUGAGAUGUGCUCCGGGUUCUGCCACCAAACACGAACGCACAGAAGCUCUUAUUUCCUGUUAUCUUAAGGACGAGUCUGAAUAUAUAAAUAUAAAUAUAUUAGACAGAUGUGUUCUUUAUAUAUUCAAUGAGAAUCAAUAUUAAGUGGGAGAGAUCUUUGACUUUCAGAUCUGGGAAUUAAGAUUCUUUGUGCACAGAAAGCGGGUGUUCGUCAGCAUAUAGAGGCGCCGCGUGUCGUGUUUUAACAUCCAUAUAAUUCAUUUAUAUAAAUUAAAGUAGGGCAGUGUAACGCGUGGACACUAAUACACAGAAACAUCUACGUUAGGUUUGCUAACAUUAGCCCCAUAAACUAGUUCUGAACUGAGUUAGUGUUUUAUUGCUUAUGAAUGAAUCAGAAUGUUUAUUUCAUAGAUAUAUUUUAGACGGUGCAGAUUUCACUAUGAAAGUUACAAAGACGACAUUAGGGGAGAAGUUGGUGCAAGAAAAACAUAUUGGGAACUGUAGUUUUUUAACGCAAUUAAAUUGUAGUUUGACUUUGUUAAAGAGACAGUUCACCCAAAUCAAAAAUACAUAUGUUUUCCUCUGACCCGUAGAGAUGUAGGAAAGUCUCCUUCCAGAUAUCUCGACAUGGUUACUGAAGAUAAUCCGCACGCUGUGUUGGGAGCAGUUUCAUGCCGGAACUAUUUUCUUUCUACCGAACUACACCCGCCAGCCGAAUCACAGCGCAGAAGGAAACUGAAGAAAUAUGUAUUUUAGAUUUUAGGGUGAACCGUCUUUUUAAAGUCAACGUCAGACUUCUGCGCUCGUAUAAGUUUUCUUUUUCAAACCAGCAUGUUGUUGCAUCUGAAGGUUCUUACUGAGGUUUUACAGUCCAGAUAACGUUUCUCCUCCUCUUCAGAUCCAACACAGACGGAGUCAGAGGAAGCAGCAUCGUCUGCCUCCGGACAAACACACAAUACCACACAUAGCACUUUUAAACAGGUCGUGUCCAGGCCGGGCCCAAUGUGUGACGCUGAAUGUGAAUCACAGUGUUAAAGCUACGUCUGUUCCUUUGUGUCCAUCCUGUGUUUGAGCUUCUUCAUCCUCAGAGGCUUCAGAUUUCAUUCUGUCCUCUAAUAGUUUAUGAGUUGUACGAUGAUAACAUCAAAGCAUCGGUCAGAGCGUCUUUGAUCAGAUGACUUGAGACUGGACUUGGACUUCAACACCGAUGACUCGUGACUUCACUUACGUGAUACUUUCCCCGAAGCCCGAAGAUUAAGAAGUACGUUACAUAAAAAGCCACGAAUGAAUUAUUUUCUGACACAACGGUCAUUUAUUUAAUUCAUACAGUACAUUUCUGUCAGUGUACCAGGUCGGCCAUCUUGGUUUAUUUUCAGCUGUAGUUUCUGAUCAGGUGUGAAGACGAACGAAGAAGAACCACGAAGAAGUAACGUUACUGAGCACCAGUUGGAAAACAUGAUACCAAAGAUCAUUUAGUUUGUGUAAUAAAACUAUGCAAGAAUAAACAAAUAGCAAUGUGUGAAAUUGGUGCAGAGCGCAUUAUGACAUAAACACUCAAAGAUUAGGAAAUAAUAUUUAAUUGACAUGAUAAAAUCCUCAUCAGGCAUCACGUCCACAUCUGGACCGCCGUUCAUCUUACUCGUGUCUUUAAUUUAGAGAAACAUUGUUGACACGUCUCUUACUUCUUUUAGAAGCCGUUCCUCCGUCACGCCGAGUCACUCGUCCGUCUGCAGUUUGAAGUUCUCUUUGAGGACAUUUUUGUUAAUUACACUUUCCCACAAACGGAGCAAUUAGAGGGCAUCGAGCACGUUAAUGAUCAAACGGCACAAAUGUGCACCUGUUCGGGAACAGGUGGGAUCCAUCAGGCUGCAGGUGUGACAGCUUGUGCAGUCAGAGAGUUUGAUGGAUCCGACUGUGAACACAGAGAGGACAAUAAAUUAACAAAAAAGGAUCUUUUAUGAGAUAAAUUGUCUUUAUUUAUAGUGUUUGUAUAUUUAAAAGUAGUUCAAACAAGCCAGGAACAAUCCUUUCACAUGCAGUACUUUACAGUUUUGAACGGGCUUCAGGCAAAUAUUGACACCUUGCACCGGAGCACGAAGCCGCUUCACUCUUCAGCUUCAUGCUUUUCCAUAUUACUUCUGUCUGCUGGCAGAGCUCUGGGUUAUACUUUGGGUUUCUUUGGCCACACACAUGACUGACGGCUCCACCGCCCGGAGGUCAGCGGGUCGAGCCUCUCAGAAAGUUAAUGUUCUCCGUCGGCUCGGUGUCCUCGGUGAAGCUGCUGCAGGGAACCGUUGACCUCUGACCUCUCUGAAAGCGAGCUGCAGAAAUGUGCUGUGUGAGUCUCAGGGGGACGUGCACCCAGCAAACACAUCCCCAUAAUAUCUCACAUCCAGAUUACUCUUACAACUAUAAAGUGAAUAUGUAAAAGUAUGUAUCUUAUCUUUGUACAUUUCGUCCAAGUGUUUGGACGAAAUGUACAAAGAUAAGAUAAAUGUGAAUAUACUAAAUGAAAGAGACAACAAAUCCUAAUCUAAGAGUAGGAACAUAACGUAAUGUAUUAAUUCAGAACAAAGCUGCACUACCUCAAUGAUAUUUAAGCUUAACAAACACCCCGACAUCGGGCUCAGUCUGCAGGUCAGGCCAGACAUGCAUGUUGGAUAUUAUAAUUCAGACUAUAAUCUUAUAUUUCAAUUGCUGUUGCAUUUCUUUCCCCUGAACGCACCUGGAUUAUAAUCUCCUGAGGAGUUAGAAGUGGUUGCAGUACAGAGGAAACAGAGCGCAGACCUCUGCCAAUGUUAACAAAAGUGAAAAAUACUUUGUGCGUCGGCUCCAAAAUGUAAAGUCGUCUUCCUCGGCCCGUGCUUCACCCUUCCCCCGAGUUUCAUGAAGAUCGGGCCAGAAGUUUUUCCAUAAUCUGAAUCAUAACGACCUUGUGGAGUCGGGUCGCUCAGUUCCUGCAGUGGAAAAGACCUGAAUGUUCAAACUGGGCUAAUUCUAAAAAGAAAGAGGAUUGUAAUUACUAAUUACCUGCUGAAAUUAAAGUAAUUUAAAUGUAAUGAAAAAGUUUAUGUGUGGGAAACAUCCGCCGGGGUUAAAUGAACAAAUAAGAGAUAAAGGAAAUUAUGUUUCACGACUUGAUUAAGAUUGGACGACGGCGUAUUAAGGCCAUUGUAGGUGAGAAAAAACAAUUAUCUGAGAUUAAAGUGGUAAAUUUAAGAGAAGAAAUCACAAAUCUACGGGAGAAAAACGUGAAUAUUCUCUAAUUAUUAAACCAUAAAUUAGCAAGUACAAAAAUCUAAAAUUCUCUGAUAUUAGAGCAACAAAUUUACAAGAAAAUACUUUUUAUUUUGAAGGAUCAACCUCAUCAGAGAAUUCCAUGUAUGCAUUUAUAUCAUAUAGAAUAUUAGAGUGUUUUCUUUUACAUUUAGAAAAUUAAUCUUGGAAAAGUAUUUUUAUUUUUUAUUUCUU
Cottoperca gobio is the source of this 4508-nucleotide RNA transcript. It is a transcript of the gene named gsg1-like, with no coding region annotated. Lineage: Eukaryota; Metazoa; Chordata; Actinopteri; Perciformes; Bovichtidae. The record is from RefSeq and is a predicted model, not a curated record. The transcript has 6 exons.